CUUAGCAGAGAUGCUUUGGUGCCCUCGGGAACUCUGAGACAGGUGCUGCAUGGCUGUCGUCAGCUCGUGUUGUGAAAUGUUGGGUUAAGUCCCGCAACGAGCGCAACCCUUAUCCUUUGUUGCCAGCGGCUCGGCCGGGAACUCAAAGGAGACUGCCGGUGAUAAACCGGAGGAAGGUGGGGAUGACGUCAAGUCAUCAUGGCCCUUACGGCCAGGGCUACACACGUGCUACAAUGGCGCAUACAAAGAGAAGCGACCUCGCGAGAGCAAGCGGACCUCAUAAAGUGCGUCGUAGUCCGGAUUGGAGUCUGCAACUCGACUCCAUGAAGUCGGAAUCGCUAGUAAUCGUAGAUCAGAAUGCUACGGUGAAUACGUUCCCGGGCCUUGUACACACCGCCCGUCACACCAUGGGAGUGGGUUGCAAAAGAAGUAGGUAGCUUAACCUUCGGGAGGGCGCUUACCACUUUGUGAUUCAUGACUGGGGUGAAGUCGUAACAAGGUAGGCGUAGCGAG
Molecule: ribosomal RNA, 513 nt
Filed under: uncultured bacterium
Lineage: Bacteria
Description: bacterial SSU rRNA
Rfam family: Bacterial small subunit ribosomal RNA
Source: RNAcentral